Molecule: long non-coding RNA, 5087 nt
Organism: Apis cerana (Asiatic honeybee)
Lineage: Eukaryota; Metazoa; Arthropoda; Insecta; Hymenoptera; Apidae
Source: RefSeq, a predicted model, not a curated record
CGGCGACAACAGAUGCCUUUUAGCUUACCUUGCUCGCAGAGUUCAUGUCAGUUUGUUGUUAUGCUCGUACUUCGCCAUCAGCAGAACAAACAUUUGUACGGUAUUGCCAUCUCGCGUCGUUCUCAGAAUCUUUCCCUUCAAGAUCUCCAGUGUAUUUCAACGUUUUCAACAAUGGGAAAUCCUCAGCCUUCGAUCGUCUAAGCCUUCUGGACGCGUUUCUGUAACAUUUCCAGACUUGUGGCUCGAUCACUAUCAUGUCGGCGAUGGAACAAGCCUUUCUUAGAAAUUUCACCAGCCCUUCGUCCCCGUGGUUCAAGUGGAUCCACAUCGUAACCGAGAAACAGAACACGACGUCGAAUCGUGACUUUUCGAAUCGGUCAAGAUGCUCGUUCAGGACUCGGUUACAAUCCUCGGUCAAAAAAUCGAAGCACUCGAAAAUAAUACGAUCCGGGCGUGGAUUGCGUUCCCGUGCCCGCUCUAUUAAGAUCGGAUCGAGGUCCACGCCGAGCAAACUGAUCUCCUUCGACUGAUCGGCCGAUAAAGCUUUCUCGAGGAAGUCGUGCAACACGAAUGUUAAAUCCUGAAAUCGUUAAAUACGAUAUUUACGAGAUAUCCUUUGGUCAAAAAGAUAAAUUUUUUUUUUCUAAAUAAGUGGGAUCGAAGAAGAAUUUUUUUAAAUAUUUAUAAUUUUUUUAAAUUGAAAAAUAUUUCUCAUAAGUGGAAAAGAAUUUCCGGAAGGAAGAAUGAUCGUCGAGAAGGGAUAAGAUCGGCUAAAUUUAGACGGUUGUCGUUUGUAAUUUUCGGAUCACGGUCACGACUCAUCCUAUUUUGUCUGACAGCUGUUUCAGCCUUACCCCCGCGUUACAGCCGACGUCUAGGCCUACGUAUUUCCGGUCCGGAUGAGCAGACCGCCACACGCCAUGCGGAAGUUGUCGCACGCGCUCUUCCGCAGGAUGGAAUUGGUAAUAAUUCAUGAAGUUCCCGUGUCUACUAGCACCCGGAUCCGUCUUAUCUUCCUGCCUUUCCUUGCGCGAUGAUCGUGCCUCUUCCCUCGACAUUUUAGAAAAUCUGAAAUUCGGGACACGUGGCUCCAGAUGAUCGAAGGAUACCUUACAAGGGACAAGGUGCCGUAACUCAUAUCGCCACUCGCAUUCUUUUCUCGAUUCAUCGCUUAACGUGCACCUCUAACGAGUUGGAAAAUUAUUUCGAGCAUCCUAUGCCCAAGUUAUUUGACUUAAAAACCUCCUUUCUCGAUAUUAAUAUAAUCAAAUAUCUUUAGGUCGAACGAAUCGAACUUUAUCUUCGAUCGUUGCAUAAUAUUCUUGUAUUAAUUAAGUAAAAAAAAAUAUUAUAAUCAAAGUUACAAUCGACGCUCGUAUAUAUACGUGUGUAUAUAUAUAUAUAUAAUCAUCGCUUCGUUAGAUUUCGAAUAGCUAUUUUCUAUAAUUACACGCAUCCGAUCGAAGUCUAGUUACUCGAAUUAACGACUUCGAGUCGAACGGCACGAGAUCGUAUUACCUGAAAUUAAGUAAUUCAAUUACUGAAAAAAGGGCGGAAGGUGUUUUCGCGCAAUUUCAACUAGAUUCUAAUCAAUUGGCCUUUAAAUUAUUCGAUAGCCGCGCCGUUAAGCAUCGCGCAAAAACCUGUUAUCCUUACGAAAGCUGCAAAGUACGUAAUUUAUACCGGUAAAUUACUUCUCCCCGGCUCUAAGUAACCCGUACUUCGGUACACGCGUACGUUAACACACAACGAUCCAAGGGGAUUUGGCAACACACCGUACCGGGCUUCGAAGCGAUUUGGCAAUUCGAACAGAAGUCAAACGUGCUCGUGACAUGCUCCAACUCAUGCUCGAUAUUUGCCAAUACCCAAUUCGCUUCGUACUUCUCACGAGCACGGCUCUAACGGAAAUUAAAACUCGAGAAAUUGAUCUUGAAACGAAGUGAUCGAAAGUGAAGUGAAAAUAAUUAAGGUCAAAAUGAGUAAAAGGCUUGAAAAGAUUGGCGGGACAUCUUGAACCGGCGAUGUAAACGCGUGGCUUUUACGAUUGCAGAAAAUUAGAUAAAUAAAAGGAAAUAAGGAAAAAAAGCCUUAAGUUGAAAAUGUUAAGCGAGGUCGUAAAAUUACUCGUUAAAACGAUGGUUCUCAACCAUCAUUUACGAAUCGCGGAACAUUCUUUUGAGGAAAUCGAGUCUUUUCAGUUUUAUGGAUCGCAAACGAAUCCCCAAGGAACGUGUGAAAGAAAAAUGUACACCGCGACGGGGGAUCGAGGAGGCCUUUUCUUUCCUCGAACAACGUGAAAGUAGGCGCGAAUUCUCGUUUGCAUUGCUGAUUCAGCAAUGAUUUUUUUUUUUUUCGUCGAUCCUCGGUGUGGGCCUCGACGAUGGCAAAGAUCGUUUCGUAGGCGAUAUUAGACAUGCAAGGAGAAACGAUCGCUCGAAGCGACUAUUCUUCCGGAUCGCGAUUUUAUCGGCAAAUUGUUCGGAUUGCGUGUACACUGCCAUAUUUGCCCGUACCUCGUUACGCAGCAUCAUCUCAUACAAUGGAACGAUUUAUGGCGGCGAUGGGGAGAUAUUUUGAAAUUUCAUCGCUGUCGAAAGUUGGCGCGAGAUUUAUGCCACUUGAAACCGUAAAUAUAAUACCACUUCCUUGCUUCGAUUUCAUUUUCGAGAAAUAAAUAAUUGUGAACGGCUGUAAGCGCCAUACGCUUCUUACGCAUCGUGAUAUCGUACAAAUCGUUAUAUCGUUAAUCACGCGCAUAUUAGUUGGAAACAUUCGUCGAAACGAAAUUUUUCUCGAGAACUUCUUGGAACUUUAAUCUUUGGUAAACUGGUGAUUGAUAAAUUUCUUCGGGAUGGCUCAUUUCCGGAAUGUAAAGUAACAAAGAAAUUUUCAACCGCGAAGGACAACGAACUCGCGCGUAUAUAUACUUACAGCUUAUAGUUCCAUUCGAAGCGCUGUUAGUCAUCGUUUGUUACCUAGUCAUCUUUAAUAUUGAAAACGCCUCAAGACAUUCCAGCGUUGCGACACCCUUUUGGCUCGGGCCUCUUCUGUAAUCGCGUCAUUGCACCCAAUGACAAAAUUAUCGUAAACAAAUGUGUCGGUAUAAAUGGAACCUCGGUAAUAAAAUUAAUGAUAGAAUUAAUAACCUCUCUGUAAUUUCUAGACAAAGUUUCGCAUAUUCCCCCAGAGAUUAAUACCGAUACAAAUCCUUAUUUUAUUUCCAACAUGUAUUACCACGCCAGUUCAAAACGACUCGACGAUUAUGAUAUUUUAAAAACAUCCUAGAUCAGAAUUAGUCUCUACGAGCAAUUAAUACUUUUGAUAUUAAAAUACUUUCGAACGGCACUGUAUAUCAGGCCAACACUUUUGAACGGUACUGUAUAUCAGAAAUAGUGCGAAUUAGAAUUCCGCGUGGCACAAUGCCCGCGCCCCGGUGAAAGAAUAUAAAUGUUUUUCCCUGGCGCCAAGAGAGUGGGAAGGAGGGGCAGCUGUGUACCGUUCGUUUCUCCCUUUCAUCCCUUUCCACUCUUCCUCGCCCCCGAAAAAUAUCCCGGUCGAGUCUCAGCUACUCUCCCCCGGAAGUCGAAUGUAAAGCGAUCCGUCCGGCUUAUUGAACGCUUGCCCGCGUCCGGGAAAUCCGCUUUUCCCGGAUUUUCGUAUCGGACAAAACGAUGGCCGCGAUCGACAGCGUUGAAAAGGGAGCGGCGUUUUCAAGCCGCUCGAAAAUUGAAGAGGAAACGGGCGGGAGAAUGCAUGCGUGUGCACCACCUCGCUUCUUACCUUCGAACGGAAGGGGAAGAACGAAAGGGGCGCGUGUUCGAACCCACUUGCCGAGGAUUCUCCCCAAACGCGGCUUCGUUCGUGUUUCCCUCCUUUCUUUUCAAAGCUUUGCUGAAUUUGUCCCACGGAUUAAGCACGAUCGUUCAUCCAGGUAUCGAUCUUUUGUGUCGUUUACACUUAAAUAAAGGGUGAAAUGCGCAAUGAAACGAAAGUAGCACGUUUGUGUCGUGUUUUCCUAGUUAUUUUUCUUUCUUUCUUUUUCAGAUUCUUAUAGUAAUUUUUCUGAUCAAUAAAAUAAAUAAUAUCAUCGUACAAUUUACUUGGAAAUCGUCUUUAAAUUAUAUUUUUAAACGAGGAAAUGUUUCUAUCAAAACCGCCUGAGCAUUAACGUUGUCAAUAAUAGAGAGACAUAGGAAACGUUAUUCGUUGGAAAUGUGGUACGAUGUGUAUAUAUAUAUAUAUAUAUGGUGCUACUGCGAGAACGGAAACUCGUAAGCGACUCCGUCAUAUCCGGAAUAAGAGACGAAGAAUUUUAAUUUAGCCGAGCAAUGGAAUCGUUGAAAGGGAUCUGUUCAACCGCUUCCCUCAUUUUUACGUUCAUUGUCAAUCGCUAAUGUAAUAAUACAAUCCCGCGGUAUGUGUGCGUCUUUUCUCGACACGGCCAAUUAUGAAUGGUUAUAGGAAACAUGAGAAUGUUCUCGUACGAUUACGACCUCACCGCUUAUCAUUUCCUGCACUCACUCGAACUGCAUCGUAAUCUGACGCAAUUUCGCGCGAAAUCGAUAACGCUGGUAUUUUCAAGUUUAUUGUUCGCCACAUGCGAAUCGAGCUUUCAUAUUCUUUUGUCUCGUAUACUCGGGUAAAGAUGUAAUAUCCCAAUUAAAAUUACUUACGUAAAAUUGAAUUAUAAAAUGGAUAAUUCAAUUUAAAUUUAAUUUAAUUUAAUUUAGACAGAAUCAGAGAAAAGUAAAAAUAUUUAUUUAACGUGUAGAAUAAACGUGUUGUAAUGUAAAUGUAGGUUAUCGUAUACCUUGCGUACCGAUAUGUAACGUCGAUAAUCGAUUAUUUGGGUUUACAAUCUUUCGAACCACUGUCGAGUUUUGCGUUCAAUUGUUUAGUCUUCCAAUGUGAAUUAUGAAUUCUGAACUUCUUUCUCGAUAUUAUUAUUAUAAUUAAUACGUUCAUUGUCGUGCAAUAAUAUUCACGAUAUACGGCAUACUCAGAUAUUUCGUGCGUCAAAAAUUGUGUCUAAAUGUACGAAACAUUUGUUUUAAAAAUAAAAUUCAAUAGUAGUCGGCGAGUAAAAA